RNAcentral lists this ribosomal RNA (301 nucleotides) under uncultured bacterium. RNAcentral describes it as "partial 16S ribosomal RNA". It matches the Rfam family "Bacterial small subunit ribosomal RNA", at positions 509 to 807 of the family's 1533-position model. The record is from RNAcentral.
CAGUAGCCGCGGGAAUACGUAGGUGGCAAGCGUUGUCCGGAAUUAUUGGGCGUAAAGGGCUCGCAGGCGGUUUCUUAAGUCUGAUGUGAAAGCCCCCGGCUCAACCGGGGAGGGUCAUUGGAAACUAGGAAACUUGAGUGCAGAAGAGGAGAGUGGAAUUCCACGUGUAGCGGUGAAAUGCGUUGAGAUCGGAAAGAACACCAGCGGCGAAAGCACUCUGCUGGGCCGACACUGACACUGAGGGACGAAAGCUAGGGGAGCAAAUGGGAUUAGAUACCCCUGUAGUCCCUGUCUCUUAUAC